Schistosoma rodhaini is the source of this 45-nucleotide non-coding RNA. The record is from Rfam. NCBI's taxonomy places the organism in Eukaryota, Metazoa, Platyhelminthes, Trematoda, Strigeidida, Schistosomatidae.
AUCCAGUUGGCGAGUUCAAAAUAGGAUGAAACGUGCGUCCUGGAU